RNAcentral lists this ribosomal RNA (450 nucleotides) under uncultured bacterium. Its description in RNAcentral is "partial 16S ribosomal RNA". It matches the Rfam family "Bacterial small subunit ribosomal RNA", at positions 29 to 523 of the family's 1533-position model. The record is from RNAcentral.
AACGAACGCUGGCGGCAUGCUUAACACAUGCAAGUCGAACGAGACCUUCGGGUCUAGUGGCGCACGGGUGCGUAACGCGUGGGAAUCUGCCCUUAGGUACGGAAUAACUCAGAGACAUUUGUGCUACUACCGUAUGAUGUCGAAAGACCAAAGAUUUAUCGCCUAAGGAUGAGCCCGCGGUAAGAUUAGCUUGUUGGUGAGGUAAAAGCUCACCAAGGCGACGAUCUUUAGCUGGUCUGAGAGGGUGAACCGCCACCCCGGGAACGGGAAACGGCCCCAGACCCCUACGGAGGGCGGAAUUGGGGAAAUUUGACAAUGGGGCAAAAGCCUAUCCCGGCAAGGCGGGUUAGGGGAUGAGGGCCUUAGGUUUGUAAGGCCUUUUUACAAGGAUGAUAAUGACAGUACCUGGAGAAUAAGCUCCGGCUAACUCCGUGCCAGCCGCCGCCGUAA